AUGGCGCGAUGGUUUGAAUAUGCGCAUGGUUUUGGAGAUUAUGGUGAGCUUGCCUGUCGUCGUUGGGGAGGCAAUUUUUGCACACUAGAGAUCACCUCUGUGCUGCUUGCCAGAACGGUUGUAGCAACUAUUAUCUCUGCUGAUAUUAUUGAAGGGUCAUGGCCUGAUGAUUCUAGAGGUCGUGUGGUUGCCCGUACUGCUGCCAUAGAUGAGGACAUUCUGCUGCUUGACUCUGGAGAAGAACCAUUGAAAGUGGAUCCAGACGGUCGCGUUACCCUUCAAAGAGGUGUUGUUUGCGUGGAACGUCAGGGGAUGCUCACGGUUUCUAUGGAAGCCUACUCGAAGGAAGGUAUUUGUUAUGCAGAUUCUGUUGAAUUCAGGCCCAAAAAGUCUCUCACAAGUAUCGGUAUUUGCGACCUUGGAUUCUGCACGGUGCAGUUUAUUGUUGGUUGGUCCCCAAUGGCGACGAAGUCUGAUCUGAUGUACUUUGACAACUGA
This 498-nucleotide ribosomal RNA is filed under the name Triticum aestivum (bread wheat). Its description in RNAcentral is "partial small subunit ribosomal RNA". Lineage: Eukaryota; Viridiplantae; Streptophyta; Magnoliopsida; Poales; Poaceae. The record is from RNAcentral.